GAUGAACGCUGGCGGCGUGCCUAAUACAUGCAAGUCGAGCGAACAGACGAGGAGCUUGCUCCUCUGACGUUAGCGGCGGACGGGUGAGUAACACGUGGAUAACCUACCUAUAAGACUGGGAUAACUUCGGGAAACCGGAGCUAAUACCGGAUAAUAUAUUGAACCGCAUGGUUCAAUAGUGAAAGACGGUUUUGCUGUCACUUAUAGAUGGAUCCGCGCCGCAUUAGCUAGUUGGUAAGGUAACGGCUUACCAAGGCAACGAUGCGUAGCCGACCUGAGAGGGUGAUCGGCCACAAUGGAACUGAGACACGGUCCAGACUCCUAAGGGAGGCAGCAGUAGGGAAUCUUCCGCAAUGGGCGAAAGCUUGACGGAGCAACGACGCGUGAGUGAUGAAGGUCUUCGGAUCGUAAAACUCUGUUAUUAGGGAAGAACAAAUGUGUAAGUAACUAUGCACGUCUUGACGGUACCUAAUCAGAAAGACACGGCUAACUACGUG
This 497-nucleotide ribosomal RNA is filed under the name uncultured bacterium. Its description in RNAcentral is "partial 16S ribosomal RNA". It matches the Rfam family "Bacterial small subunit ribosomal RNA", at positions 28 to 507 of the family's 1533-position model. The record is from RNAcentral.